This is a long non-coding RNA of Mytilus californianus (California mussel), 2233 nucleotides long. RefSeq lists it as uncharacterized. The transcript has 3 exons. The record is from RefSeq and is a predicted model, not a curated record. Lineage: Eukaryota; Metazoa; Mollusca; Bivalvia; Mytilida; Mytilidae.
UCUGAUAUGGAAACUAAAAUCAUUCGUCAAUUUCUUUUAUUAACUGCGUUAAAAAGUGUUUCUUUGGCAAUGCUAAGAACAAAUAUAUUAAAAGCAGUACUGGUAUCAGACUUAAAUGGAUUUUUUGAAUAUUCAGCUUCAUUGGAAAAUACACCUGCACUUUCACUUAAUGAAUGUACAAUGAAUUGCAAUAAUAACGAUCGCUGUGUUUCUUUCUUUUACAACUCGCGAUCGGAUACAGGCGAGUGUGUUUUGCAUUCUAAGCGUUUUUAUUCGAAUGAACCUCCGAGUGGAACUGGCGUGUAUUGGAAAUAUUUUGUGGCAACUGGUGCUACAGUCACCUGUUAUGCAGAACAUAUUUACUAUAGGCAACUUCAAUUUUGCUACAGCAUACAUGAAAGUGAUCCAAUAGAUUUUACACAGAUCAAAGCAUUCUGCUCAUCAAGAGGUGGAGAACUUGCUGCGGUUUCCUCAGAUGAAAUGAACAGCUACUUCAAAGAAUUUCUAGAUGAAAGACCCCACAUAAGGGUUUGUAUAGCAGGAGAAGAGCAACAAGAUGGGAGUUGGGCAUUAGAAGAUGGCACCACUAUGUCAUAUUUCAACUGGUACCCUGGACAACCAGAAUCAGGAAAUCAGGGGUGUAUUGUCAUCAAAGCUACAUCACUUGGUGACAUGUGGAUGGAUGCCUCAUGUGCAUAUUCAAAGAGUUGUUCAUUUGUGUGUGAAUAUUAAUUUGUGUACAUACUUGUGACAGAGCUAAUAUUUUGUUUAGAAAAAUAAGUGACUAAAAAGAAUAACAUCAUACUAGAAAAGUAUUCUUAUGCCCCUUGUUGAAGCAUAUAUUUUAAUUGUCGAAAAGCAAUAAAUCUAAUAUUAUCUUUGUAGGUUCUUAAUUUUUUGAUAAAUAUCUUACAAAAAACGUAGGUAUGAGAACACUCUCAAUGCAAUUUUCAAUAUAAUUGUUAUUUCCAAGGGGCAUUAUUCCUGUAAAAAUAGUUGAAUAGCGCUGAAUAUCGAAUACGUCCAAGACCUUGAUAAUAUAAACCAUUCAUAUAAAUUUCAAGAAAUGUAGGUGUGAUAGUGUUUACAAUGAAAUUUUCUAUAUAAAUUAUAUUUAUAUUUCAAAGAACAUUUCAACCCGCUUGCUUGCACCUGUCCCAAGUCAGGAACCUGAUGUUCAGUGGUGGUCGUUUGUUGAUGUGGUUCAUAAGUGUUUCUCGUUUCUCAUUGUUUAUAUAGAUUAGACCAUUGGUUUUCCUGUUUGAAUGGUUUUACACUAGUCAUUUUUGGAGCCCUUUAUAGCUUGCUGUUCGGUGUGAGCCAAGGCUCUGUGUUCAAGGCCAUACUUUGACCUAUAAUGGUUUACUUUUACUAAUUGUGACUUGGAUGGAGAGUUGUCUCAUUGGCACUCAUACCACAUCUUCUAAUAUCUAUGUAAUUCAUGUAAAAAUAGUUGCUCUGAACUGAUUUUUGAACUCAUCCAAGACAUUCCUGAUGUAAAGCUUUGAUUUAAUUUUCAUAAAAAUCUGACACGUAAUAUUGUUUACUUAGUUAAAGAGUAUUCAUAAUGCUAUUUCCAAAUAGAAUUUACUUUUCCAAGAGAUAAACUCUUUUAAAAACAGUUGAUUAGCACUGGCGUUUCAAACUUGUCCAAGACAUUGUUGGUAUAUUAACCUUUGAUAUAAAUUGCAUAAAAACCUACAAGAAAUUCUAGCUAGAGAGCACUUACAUUGUACAAUGAAAUUUUCUGUAUAAUUUAUAUUUUCAAGGGAAUAACUUUUUAAAAAAUAGUAAAUUGGCACUGAUUUUGGAACUAUCCCCAGAAAUUACAAGAACAUGUGCUUAACACAUUUUUUCAUGAAUAUAGCCUUAGAUUUAUUCAAAUUUAUGCCAAGCAUCUUUUAAAAAAAAUAGCCAUUUGUUGUCAAAUAAAAACAACUCUGAAUGAAAACAGUGAAGUCUUUUCUGGAAUUUAAUAGAGUUUAUUUCCAGAAACAAAGUAACAAGGGAAUUUAAAUUUCAAGGUUAAAGUACAGCUGCAUUGUAUUUUAUCUGCCUGUUCAAAAUAAACAGGUAAAUUUGGAAUUUUAUGGCAUAAAAUAUCAUACUACAUAUAUCUAUAUAAAUCCGAAUUCCUUUUGUAUUUGUAAAGUUACAUAUGUAUAUGCAAAUUCAUGUUGUUCAAUACAACUGCACUCGCAUUUCAACACACAAUAAAAUAAGUAAAUAAAUA